GCCCUCUCAGAGUCGCACCUGGAGAGUUUCCAGUACUCUACCAGUCUUGACUACGGGAGGAAGAUCCAAGCAGAGGCAUACUCAUUCCAUUCCUAGCUUGGCCAGUGGCUAGCGACUGGAGGGCAAUCGGCUACAAAA
This is a non-coding RNA of Ornithorhynchus anatinus (platypus), 138 nucleotides long. The record is from Rfam. Lineage: Eukaryota; Metazoa; Chordata; Mammalia; Monotremata; Ornithorhynchidae.